UAGGAUGCUGACAUCUUUGUGUGUUGCUGU
This 30-nucleotide non-coding RNA is filed under the name Rattus norvegicus (Norway rat). Lineage: Eukaryota; Metazoa; Chordata; Mammalia; Rodentia; Muridae. The record is from RNAcentral.